GUCGAGCGAACAGACGAGGAGCUUGCUCCUCUGACGUUAGCGGCGGACGGGUGAGUAACACGUGGAUAACCUACCUAUAAGACUGGGAUAACUUCGGGAAACCGGAGCUAAUACCGGAUAAUAUAUUGAACCGCAUGGUUCAAUAGUGAAAGACGGUUUUGCUGUCACUUAUAGAUGGAUCCGCGCCGCAUUAGCUAGUUGGUAAGGUAACGGCUUACCAAGGCAACGAUGCGUAGCCGACCUGAGAGGGUGAUCGGCCACACUGGAACUGAGACACGGUCCAGACUCCUACGGGAGGCAGCAGUAGGGAAUCUUCCGCAAUGGGCGAAAGCCUGACGGAGCAACGCCGCGUGAGUGAUGAAGGUCUUCGGACCGUAAAACUCUGUUAUUAGGGAAGAACAAAUGUGUAAGUAACUAUGCACGUCUUGACGGUACCUAAUCAGAAAGCCACGGCUAACUACGUGCCAGCAGCCGCGGUAAUACGUAGGUGGCAAGCGUUAUCCGGAAUUAUUGGGCGUAAAGCGCGCGUAGGCGGUUUUUUAAGUCUGAUGUGAAAGCCCACGGCUCAACCGUGGAGGGUCAUUGGAAACUGGAAAACUUGAGUGCAGAAGAGGAAAGUGGAAUUCCAUGUGUAGCGGUGAAAUGCGCAGAGAUAUGGAGGAACACCAGUGGCGAAGGCGACUUUCU
Molecule: ribosomal RNA, 687 nt
Filed under: uncultured Staphylococcus sp.
Lineage: Bacteria; Bacillati; Bacillota; Bacilli; Caryophanales; Staphylococcaceae
Description: bacterial SSU rRNA
Rfam family: Bacterial small subunit ribosomal RNA
Source: RNAcentral